GAAGUUAGCGGCGGACGGGUGAGUAACACGUGGGUAACCUGCCCAUAAGACUGGGAUAACUCCGGGAAACCGGGGCUAAUACCGGAUAACAUUUUGAACCGCAUGGUUCGAAAUUGAAAGGCGGCUUCGGCUGUCACUUAUGGAUGGACCCGCGUCGCAUUAGCUAGUUGGUGAGGUAACGGCUCACCAAGGCAACGAUGCGUAGCCGACCUGAGAGGGUGAUCGGCCACACUGGGACUGAGACACGGCCCAGACUCCUACGGGAGGCAGCAGUAGGGAAUCUUCCGCAAUGGACGAAAGUCUGACGGAGCAACGCCGCGUGAGUGAUGAAGGCUUUCGGGUCGUAAAACUCUGUUGUUAGGGAAGAACAAGUGCUAGUUGAAUAAGCUGGCACCUUGACGGUACCUAACCAGAAAGCCAGGCUAACUACGUGCCAGCAGCCGCGGUAAUACGUAGGUGGCAAGCGUUAUCCGGAAUUAUUGGGCGUAAAGCGCGCGCAGGUGGUUUCUUAAGUCUGAUGUGAAAGCCCNCGGCUCAAC
This 539-nucleotide ribosomal RNA is filed under the name Bacillus cereus. Its description in RNAcentral is "bacterial SSU rRNA". It matches the Rfam family "Bacterial small subunit ribosomal RNA", at positions 88 to 613 of the family's 1533-position model. The record is from RNAcentral. Lineage: Bacteria; Bacillati; Bacillota; Bacilli; Caryophanales; Bacillaceae.